GAUGAACGCUGGCGGCGUGCCUAAUACAUGCAAGUCGAGCGAACGGACGAGAAGCUUGCUUCUCUGAUGUUAGCGGCGGACGGGUGAGUAACACGUGGAUAACCUACCUAUAAGACUGGGAUAACUUCGGGAAACCGGAGCUAAUACCGGAUAAUAUUUUGAACCGCAUGGUUCAAAAGUGAAAGACGGUCUUGCUGUCACUUAUAGAUGGAUCCGCGCUGCAUUAGCUAGUUGGUAAGGUAACGGCUUACCAAGGCAACGAUGCAUAGCCGACCUGAGAGGGUGAUCGGCCACACUGGAACUGAGACACGGUCCAGACUCCUACGGGAGGCAGCAGUAGGGAAUCUUCCGCAAUGGGCGAAAGCCUGACGGAGCAACGCCGCGUGAGUGAUGAAGGUCUUCGGAUCGUAAAACUCUGUUAUUAGGGAAGAACAUAUGUGUAAGUAACUGUGCACAUCUUGACGGUACCUAAUCAGAAAGCCACGGCUAACUACGUGCCAGCAGCCGCGGUAAUACGUAGGUGGCAAGCGUUAUCCGGAAUUAUUGGGCGUAAAGCGCGCGUAGGCGGUUUUUUAAGUCUGAUGUGAAAGCCCACGGCUCAACCGUGGAGGGUCAUUGGAAACUGGAAAACUUGAGUGCAGAAGAGGAAAGUGGAAUUCCAUGUGUAGCGGUGAAAUGCGCAGAGAUAUGGAGGAACACCAGUGGCGAAGGCGACUUUCUGGUCUGUAACUGACGCUGAUGUGCGAAAGCGUGGGGAUCAAACAGGAUUAGAUACCCUGGUAGUCCACGCCGUAAACGAUGAGUACUAAGUGUUAGGGGGUUUCCGCCCCUUAGUGCUGCAGCUAACGCAUUAAGCACUCCGCCUGGGGAGUACGACCGCAAGGUUGAAACUCAAAGGAAUUGACGGGGACCCGCACAAGCGGUGGAGCAUGUGGUUUAAUUCGAAGCAACGCGAAGAACCUUACCAAAUCUUGACAUCCUUUGACAACUCUAGAGAUAGAGCCUUCCCCUUCGGGGGACAAAGUGACAGGUGGUGCAUGGUUGUCGUCAGCUCGUGUCGUGAGAUGUUGGGUUAAGUCCCGCAACGAGCGCAACCCUUAAGCUUAGUUGCCAUCAUUAAGUUGGGCACUCUAAGUUGACUGCCGGUGACAAACCGGAGGAAGGUGGGGAUGACGUCAAAUCAUCAUGCCCCUUAUGAUUUGGGCUACACACGUGCUACAAUGGACAAUACAAAGGGCAGCGAAACCGCGAGGUCAAGCAAAUCCCAUAAAGUUGUUCUCAGUUCGGAUUGUAGUUCGCAAUCUCGACUACAUGAAGCUGGAAUCGCUAGUAAUCGUAGAUCAGCAUGCUACGGUGAAUACGUUCCCGGGUCU
RNAcentral lists this ribosomal RNA (1373 nucleotides) under uncultured bacterium. RNAcentral describes it as "bacterial SSU rRNA". It matches the Rfam family "Bacterial small subunit ribosomal RNA", at positions 28 to 1381 of the family's 1533-position model. The record is from RNAcentral.